CGACCGGCGCACGGGUGAGUAACGCGUAUGCAACCUGCCCGAUACCGGGGUAUAGCCCAUGGAAACGUGGAUUAACACCCCAUAGUACUUUUAUCCUGCAUGGGAUGUGAGUUAAAUGUUCAAGGUAUCGGAUGGGCAUGCGUCCUAUUAGUUAGUUGGCGGGGUAACAGCCCACCAAGACGAUGAUAGGUAGGGGUUCUGAGAGGAAGGUCCCCCACAUUGGAACUGAGACACGGUCCAA
Molecule: ribosomal RNA, 241 nt
Filed under: uncultured bacterium
Lineage: Bacteria
Description: partial 16S ribosomal RNA
Rfam family: Bacterial small subunit ribosomal RNA
Source: RNAcentral